CUCCGAGUGACGUAGGACAUAUGCAGGGAAAAACUCAUAGAACGGACACAGGAAGCUGACCUUGUUUAUAAAGAAGAGCACUGAAGGUUACAAAUCUUGGCCUCAGUGUUCAUUGCUUUUGAGCGCUUGGAUUUUCAUUAAAACAUCAAUCACAGCACAAUUGAAGUUUCUCUCUGUACAAGGAAACGACAGGCCUGCGCGUUCACUGCUUUUGAGCGGUUAGAUUUUGCAUCAAAACAUCAGUCGCAGCACAAUUGAAGUUUCUUUUUGUACAAGGGAACGAAAGGCCUCAGUGUGCAUUGCUUUUGAGCGGUUGGAUUUUAAUUAAAACAUCAAUCGCAGCACAAUUGAAGUUUCUUU
This is a long non-coding RNA of Stylophora pistillata, 360 nucleotides long. Lineage: Eukaryota; Metazoa; Cnidaria; Anthozoa; Scleractinia; Pocilloporidae. The record is from RefSeq and is a predicted model, not a curated record.